GAAGGGUGCUGGGAAAGGCUCAGGGCUGAUGUCUGCUGUGGGAGCUGAGAGGCCUAGGACAGUGGAGGAGGCAGAGGUGGUGGGGAUGGGUUUCUCUGGGUAGCCCUGGCUGUCUUCCUCAUCUGGUUCCCAUGCAGAUCCAAGGAGGACACAGGAGAAAUGGCUGCCGAGCUCAGCUGCCUGGAAGCCAGCCUUCUCCUGUUUGCCUGCAGAACAAGAUGUCCUCUUGACUCCUCCAGCACCAUGUCUGCCUGGAUGCUUCCUGCCUUGAUAAUAAUGGACUGAACCUCU
This is a long non-coding RNA of Rattus rattus (black rat), 291 nucleotides long. RefSeq lists it as uncharacterized. Lineage: Eukaryota; Metazoa; Chordata; Mammalia; Rodentia; Muridae. The record is from RefSeq and is a predicted model, not a curated record. The transcript is spliced from 3 exons.